This 473-nucleotide ribosomal RNA is filed under the name uncultured bacterium. RNAcentral describes it as "bacterial SSU rRNA". It matches the Rfam family "Bacterial small subunit ribosomal RNA", at positions 335 to 800 of the family's 1533-position model. The record is from RNAcentral.
ACUCCUACGGGGAGGCAGCAGUGGGGAAUAUUGCACAAUGGGGGAAACCCUGAUGCAGCCAUGCCGCGUGUGUGAAGAAGGCCUUCGGGUUGUAAAGCACUUUCAGUAGGGAGGAAGGUAGUGUAGUUAACACCUGCAUUAUUUGACGUUACCUACAGAAGAAGCACCGGCUAACUCCGUGCCAGCAGCCGCGGUAAUACGGAGGGUGCGAGCGUUAAUCGGAAUUACUGGGCGUAAAGCGCAUGCAGGCGGCCUGUUAAGUCAGAUGUGAAAGCCCGGGGCUUAACCUCGGAAUUGCAUUUGAAACUGGCAGGCUAGAGUCUUGUAGAGGGGUAGAAUUUCAGGUGUAGCGGUGAAAUGCGUAGAGAUCUGAAGGAAUACCAGUGGCGAAGGCGGCCCCCUGGACAAAGACUGACGCUCAGAUGCGAAAGCGUGGGAGCAAACAGGAUUAGAUACCCCGUGGUAGGUCAGUC